GACACACAGCAGGCUCAAGUCCGUCUGGGUGGCUGGGACAUGCCAGGCCCCUGCAGUAUCUUUCUGCCUGACCAGGAGAGGCUGGGGAGAGGCAGCAGCAUGCUAUUGGACAGAAGCUGAGCUGCACAGAACCGUCCCGCUGCAGGUGACAGAGCCAAAGUAGACUGGCUACGGCCAAGAAGAGAGUUACUUGAGGCACAACAGCUUCAGGCCUAGCUGGUUCCAGGAGCUCAUCACUAGACCUCGGAUGAGCUCAGGCAGACUCUCUUCCAGGGGUCUGAGCCCACGUCCUGGGCUGACAUUCACUGGCUCUUGCUGCCCUGGCUUCAGUCACGUGUCCAACUCUGGGCCUAAGGGUGGAGCCAGCCCCAUUUCUGGCACUGAGCAGGGUGCAGGCCUGGCUGCCUCAGGAAGAGCAGGGUGCUGUAGCCAGAAGCAGCUGGAACAGAUGAUGGGCUGGGGGUGUCCACAACCACAGUCACAUCUGAGGGUCAUGGAACAUUCUGGAAGGGAGGUACAGGGGUUCAGGUCUGGCUCUCUAUGUGAUUGGGGACAGGCCAAGUCUCUGCACAGUGAGGUCAUGGGACCAUCCUGGCCACCUGGGCUUGCUAUGAGGCCACGCAGCAGACCACUCCAGCUGCCAGGGCCAGCUGGUCACUCGGGAGCAAGGGUGACCAGAGACAGGCUGCUGCCUCCUUUGCUCGAGGACACUGGCCUCGGCGGGUGAGGAACCUCCGUCUCCACAUUUUCCACUCACAUCUGCCUGGCUGGGGCCUCGGCUGGGGGCCUGGCUGGGACCAUGACUGGGGGCCACCUGCGGCCUCUCUGGACGGCUUGGGCUUCCCCACAGUGUGGUCGCCUGGGGCAUGAGACUGGGCAGGCUGCACUAGGACCCAAGACUGAGGGAACACUGGCCUCCAGCCACCUGGCCUUGCAAGCCCUCGGCCCAACUGCCCCGUCCUGCCCUGGUGGAGCCCAGCAGAGGAAGGAGUGAGCCACCCCUGUGUCCUGGUGGGCGGCAUCAGAGGACUGAAAACCUGCUGAGCGUGCACAAGACCUUCUGAGGCCCUCAGCUGCCAAGAGUGUGCCCCAGGGACAUGGGUGACGCCUGGGGACCAAGCUGGUUGUCACAGCUGGGUGGUGUUGGGGUGCCAUUGGGGUGCUAGUGGCACCCAGGGUAGAAGUCGGGAGGUCUACCUCCAGGGCAGGGCGGCCCCGCCACGGGGAGUGACCCAGCCCCAAACACCCACAUGGCCGCCGUGGAGAGACGAGGGACGAAGGAGGUGGACUCCAGGGGUGGCCAUUCCUCAGGCUGCAGGGACUCCCCGGGCUGGCCCCUGGUGGGUGCAGGAGGGCUGUCCUGAGGGGCAGGUCUCGGGCAGGCUGAGGACGGAGGUCUGGGGAUGCAGCCUGGGACAGGCUCUGGCUGGGUCCCUUCCUGGUCCUGCUGCCCCUGCAAAGCCUCCUCUGCCUGCCCGGCUGGGAGCCGUGGGGGCCACUCACGGCUGUGUGGGCCUGGCCAGCGUGACCCGCUGACCUCAGGACUGCAGUCCGUGCCACGGCACCACCCGGCUCCAGGGUGCUGGCUGGGGUCCAGGGCCGGGCGCUGUCCCGUUUCCUCCCUCCCCGGCCCCACCCCAGGUUCCCCAGCUCGGGCCGCCGGCCGCAGCCUUCCGGGCCCUGCUCUGGGCAGCUGCCCGAGAACGUGGUUCCAUUUUUGGGAUUCUUGGGGAGUGAGCAGCCUGGGCUGUCAACAGAGCUCUGUUCACAGAGGCCACCGGCAAAGAGAGAGGGCAGCCAUUGUCCGGGGCCACAGGAAUGUGCCGGAUGCCAGCCGGGGGGCACAGCCCCAGCGCAGGGCUUUGGUGUGCGAACAGCAGCAGAGGCCUGGCCAACCCCCAGUGACGAUGACCGCAUGUCGAGAGCUGGGCUGGCCUCCAGGUAGCAGGACUGUCGUAAAAUAGGGUGGAGGUCCCUGUCCCCGGAAGGAGGUCACAGAGCAGGCCCAGGCGUCCCCACGGAGAUGGCAUCACCUCUGCACAGGAGGGCCCCCAGCUGCAGGCAGCUGCACCCAGGGUGCCCGAAACCCACCAGGACGUGGGACGUGGACCCCAAGGGUCCCCGUGAACAGGCCAGCGCGGUGCAGGUGGAGGAGGCGAGAGGCCCUGACCUUGGUCACCUCACCUCUGAGCCGGGCUCGCGGCACCACAGGGUGGGACGCGGCACCCGCCGCCCCACGCCACGGAGACAGCCUGCGACAGCGCCGACCCCGCGGGGCAGGAGUGACGAAGGCACCUGGCCUCGGCCCUCCUUCCAGAGCCAUGGCAUCAGGCUCCGGGAGAGGCCGGCGACAGUCAGGUCCCACCAAGGGGCACCCGUGACACACCCAGGGGCCUCAAAACCACCCAGGCCGCCAAACCAAGGCCGGUCUGAGUGCCGUGACAGCCAGGGGACCCACCAAGUGUCACGUUUGAUCCAGGGCGGGAUUAGGGACAGCAGGGGCUGGGGACCAAGGCCAAGGAGAGCCACAGGGGCUGAUGUGCCCUGUGGGCCCCUCCACUGUGACCCCAGUGGGCACGGGGCCAUCUCUGGGCUGCGCCCACGUCCCUCGCGAGGCCCUGAGACCCUCCGAGACAUGAAAGUACAUGAGAAAGUUCACGCAGGCCCCACCCAGGUCACAUGCUCCUGCCCCUGGGGUAGGACCUCCCACCUGCUCUCCUCUGGACCCCUGGAGGGAGCCCCAGGCCACACGGUGGGACAGCCAGGGACCAGUCCUGCAGCUGUGGGAAGACGGAGGGCCCCAACCGGGCAGGCUGGGACUGGCCAGGAGCCUGCCCACAGGGGACGUCCAGGGGGUGGCCCGGGGUCCCCACUCCCCGGCACCAGCCCCAGACACAUCAGCCCGAAAUGGCUGGACGGCCAGUGCCACGGUCACCCUGUCCCUGCGGCACCCCGUGGCUCUCACAUGUGCGCACUGUGGCCAGGCCCCUCCCGUCGGCCCCGCUGUGUCCAGGCUCACGGUCCCACCAGUGGGGCCCCCUGCCCUGUGGCCCAGGUCAGCAGAUGGAGCCUCUCCCUGAGCUGUCCCUGUGCCCCCUCCUCACCUGCCACCCACAGGUGGCCUGUGUGAAUUCCUCCCUUGCUGGACCCUGCUCCUGCCCCUGCCCAGGUGGGCUGACCGCUCUCCAGAGCCGUCCUGUGGGCUCGAGGCCCCGGGCAGGCAUGGGCCACGCCUCCUUACUCUACGCAGGUGGCAAUGAGGCCCAGCUGUCCCCUGGGGAACCAGGGUCUGACCAGCCCGGCACAGAGGAGGGCAGGGGACGGCCCAGAAGCAGG
RNAcentral lists this long non-coding RNA (3336 nucleotides) under Marmota monax (woodchuck). Lineage: Eukaryota; Metazoa; Chordata; Mammalia; Rodentia; Sciuridae. The record is from RNAcentral.